Molecule: transfer RNA, 73 nt
Filed under: Ovis aries (sheep)
Lineage: Eukaryota; Metazoa; Chordata; Mammalia; Artiodactyla; Bovidae
Rfam family: tRNA
About the family: Transfer RNA (tRNA) molecules are approximately 80 nucleotides in length.
Source: Rfam by way of RNAcentral
UCCCUGGUGGUCCAGUGGCUAAGACUCCACGCUCCCAGUGCUGGGUGCCCAGGUUCAAUCCCUGGUCAGGGAA